RNAcentral lists this transfer RNA (72 nucleotides) under Fukomys damarensis (Damara mole-rat). It matches the Rfam family "tRNA". From Rfam's summary of the family: Transfer RNA (tRNA) molecules are approximately 80 nucleotides in length. Their secondary structure includes four short double-helical elements and three loops (D, anti-codon, and T loops). Lineage: Eukaryota; Metazoa; Chordata; Mammalia; Rodentia; Bathyergidae. The record is from Rfam by way of RNAcentral.
UGGGAUGUAGCUCAGUGGUAGAGCACUUGCCUAGCAUAUGCAAGGCCCUGGGUUCGAUCCCCUGCACUUCAC